RNAcentral lists this ribosomal RNA (497 nucleotides) under uncultured bacterium. Its description in RNAcentral is "partial 16S ribosomal RNA". It matches the Rfam family "Bacterial small subunit ribosomal RNA", at positions 28 to 507 of the family's 1533-position model. The record is from RNAcentral.
GAUGAACGCUGGCGGCGUGCCUAAUACAUGCAAGUCGAGCGAACGGACGAGAAGCUUGCUUCUCUGAUGUUAGCGGCGGACGGGUGAGUAACACGUGUAUAACCUACCUAUAAGACUGGGAUAACUUCGGGAAACCGGAGCUAAUACCGGAUGAUAUUUUGAACCGCAUGGUUCAAAAGUGAAAGACGGUCUUUCUGUCACUUCUAGAUGGAUCCGCGCUGCAUUAGCUAGUUGGUAAGGUAACGGCUUACCAAGGCAACGAUGCAUAGCCGACCUGAGAGGGGGAUCGGCCACACUGGAACUGAGACACGGUCCAGACUCCUACGGGAGGCAGCAGUAGGGAAUCUUCCGCAAUGGGCGAAAGCCUGACGGAGCAACGCCGCGUGAGUGAUGAAGGUCUUCGGAUCGUAAAACUCUGUUAUUAGGGAAGAACAUAUGUGUAAGUAACUGUGCACAUCUUGACGGUACCUAAUCAGAAAGCCACGGCUAACUACGUG